GGUCAGGACGAACGCUGGCGGCGUGCCUAACACAUGCAAGUCGAGCGAGGAGAUUCCUUCGGGAUGAUCCUAGCGGCGGACGGGUGAGUAACACGUGGGCAACCUGCCUCAUAGAGAGGAAUAGCCUUCCGAAAGGGAGAUUAAUACCUCAUAACAUUGCAGUUUCGCAUGGAACAGCAAUUAAAGGAGUAAUCCGCUAUGAGAUGGGCCCGCGGCGCAUUAGCUAGUUGGUGAGGUAACGGCUCACCAAGGCGACGAUGCGUAGCCGACCUGAGAGGGUGAUCGGCCACAUUGGGACUGAGACACGGCCCAGACUCCUACGGGAGGCAGCAGUGGGGAAUAUUGCACAAUGGGGGAAACCCUGAUGCAAGCAACGCCGCGUGAGUGAUGACGGCCUUCGGGUUGUAAAGCUCUGUCUUCAGGGACGAUAAUGACGGUACCUGAGGAGGAAGCCACGGCUAACUACGUGCCAGCAGCCGC
RNAcentral lists this ribosomal RNA (480 nucleotides) under uncultured bacterium. RNAcentral's name for it is "bacterial SSU rRNA". It matches the Rfam family "Bacterial small subunit ribosomal RNA", at positions 22 to 518 of the family's 1533-position model. The record is from RNAcentral.